Molecule: ribosomal RNA, 315 nt
Filed under: Triticum aestivum (bread wheat)
Lineage: Eukaryota; Viridiplantae; Streptophyta; Magnoliopsida; Poales; Poaceae
Description: partial small subunit ribosomal RNA
Source: RNAcentral
AUGGAUCCCGCUGUUGGUGACGCUCACACAGUGGCUCCUCCCACUGCUGUUAUGAAGUUGGUUGGAUGGAAUUGCAGGGGAAAGGGCAGAAGUCUUGGCAACUCUAGAAAAAUGGAGUAUCUGGCUAGAUUGAUGUAUUCCACUGGUGCUAAGGAUUUUACCUAUUAUAUUCCAAACAAACAUGAACUAUGGGAAAUAUUGGAGGACAUGAGAAAGAAUGCAUCACCAGGACCUGAUGGAUUUAAUGUUGGCUUUUACACAUUGGCAUGGGAAUGGAUUGGUGAUGAUGUCACUAAUCUGGUAAGACACUUCUAA